CCCUGCCAUGGUAACCAGCGCUGGAGGGAAUCCAGAGAAGAGAUUUCUGAUGCCCAGGACAAAGGUACAGAGGCUGAGGUACUGAGAAGUUUAAUAAUUCCCAGUUGGAAGGGAAGAGAACUUGGACUCUAUCCAACAUCUGUUGGACUUUGCUUGAUCCUCGCACAGAAACUGCAAUCUGGGGAGAGGAAAGCCAGUGGCCCCCC
Molecule: long non-coding RNA, 206 nt
Organism: Lontra canadensis (Northern American river otter)
Lineage: Eukaryota; Metazoa; Chordata; Mammalia; Carnivora; Mustelidae
Exons: 3
Source: RefSeq, a predicted model, not a curated record